RNAcentral lists this ribosomal RNA (274 nucleotides) under uncultured bacterium. RNAcentral describes it as "partial 16S ribosomal RNA". It matches the Rfam family "Bacterial small subunit ribosomal RNA", at positions 523 to 796 of the family's 1533-position model. The record is from RNAcentral.
AUACGGAGGGUGCAAGCGUUAAUCGGAAUUACUGGGCGUAAAGCGUACGUAGGCGGUUAUUUAAGUCAGAUGUGAAAGCCCCGGGCUUAACUUGGGAACUGCAUUUGAAACUGGGUAACUAGAGUUUAGUAGAGGGGAGUGGAAUUUCAGGUGUAGCGGUGAAAUGCGUAGAGAUCUGAAGGAACACCAGUGGCGAGGGCGACUCCCUGGACUAAAACUGACGCUGAGGUACGAAAGCGUGGGUAGCAAACAGGAUUAGAAACCCUAGUAGUCC